RNAcentral lists this non-coding RNA (23 nucleotides) under Arabidopsis thaliana (thale cress). Lineage: Eukaryota; Viridiplantae; Streptophyta; Magnoliopsida; Brassicales; Brassicaceae. The record is from RNAcentral.
GGCAUCAGCGUGCUCCGGGCGUC